Molecule: ribosomal RNA, 1050 nt
Filed under: Staphylococcus aureus
Lineage: Bacteria; Bacillati; Bacillota; Bacilli; Caryophanales; Staphylococcaceae
Description: bacterial SSU rRNA
Rfam family: Bacterial small subunit ribosomal RNA
Source: RNAcentral
CUGAUGUUAGCGGCGGACGGGUGAGUAACACGUGGAUAACCUACCUAUAAGACUGGGAUAACUUCGGGAAACCGGAGCUAAUACCGGAUAAUAUUUUGAACCGCAUGGUUCAAAAGUGAAAGACGGUCUUGCUGUCACUUAUAGAUGGAUCCGCGCUGCAUUAGCUAGUUGGUAAGGUAACGGCUUACCAAGGCAACGAUGCAUAGCCCACCUGAGAGGGUGAUCGGCCACACUGGAACUGAGACACGGUCCAGACUCCUACGGGAGGCAGCAGUAGGGAAUCUUCCGCAAUGGGCGAAAGCCUGACGGAGCAACGCCGCGUGAGUGAUGAAGGUCUUCGGAUCGUAAAACUCUGUUAUUAGGGAAGAACAUAUGUGUAAGUAACUGUGCACAUCUUGACGGUACCUAAUCAGAAAGCCACGGCUAACUACGUGCCAGCAGCCGCGGUAAUACGUAGGUGGCAAGCGUUAUCCGGAAUUAUUGGGCGUAAAGCGCGCGUAGGCGGUUUUUUAAGUCUGAUGUGAAAGCCCACGGCUCAACCGUGGAGGGUCAUUGGAAACUGGAAAACUUGAGUGCAGAAGAGGAAAGUGGAAUUCCAUGUGUAGCGGUGAAAUGCGCAGAGAUAUGGAGGAACACCAGUGGCGAAGGCGACUUUCUGGUCUGUAACUGACGCUAAUGUGCGAAAGCGUGGGGAUCAAACAGGAUUAGAUACCCUGGUAGUCCACGCCGUAAACGAUGAGUGCUAAGUGUUAGGGGGUUUCCGCCCCUUAGUGCUGCAGCUAACGCAUUAAGCACUCCGCCUGGGGAGUACGACCGCAAGGUUGAAACUCAAAGGAAUUGACGGGGACCCGCACAAGCGGUGGAGCAUGUGGUUUAAUUCGAAGCAACGCGAAGAACCUUACCAAAUCUUGACAUCCUUUGACAACUCUAGAGAUAGAGCCUUCCCCUUCGGGGGACAAAGUGACAGGUGGUGCAUGGUUGUCGUCAGCUCGUGUCGUGAGAUGUUGGGUUAAGUCCCGCAACGAGCGCAACCCUUAAGCUUAGUUGCCA